AUUUAGCAAAUAAGUUUUGAUCCAAAGGGUUCUUGAAAAAUGGUAGUUGCUUCCCAUUAAUGGCUUCAAACACUAAAGACCCUCACCUUGAACCACCUUCCAAUGGCUCGUACUUGAUAACUAAUGGACAUCCAUGGAUCUAGCAAUAAGCAUCCAUAGAAUCCUAAAAGCUUACCAAGUAUUGGCCAUUCAAGGUGAUUCUAAGGGAUUAAAGCUGAAACUUGAAAUAUAAACCAUUAAUGAUACACAACUACCUUCAUUUAAAGCAAGGAAAACUCCCACUUUUGCAUCUGGGUCCUUUACCUAGCUUCCAUCACUCCAAGAAAUGUGAAACUUAGCCACUCAUCCUAUGAGAAAUCAUCCUCAGAGGGUGUUUGGCUAGAGAGAAAGUGAAGAGAAAAUGAGAAGGAAAGGUAGAGAAACCUCCCAUCUUUACAAAAUAUCUAAAACAUAAUAUCUAACAUCACAUCAAGCAUUGUUUGAGAGGUUUUCCAACCCCUAUUUAUAGUUCCUAAACAAACCCUAAUGUCAUUUAUCUAUUACAAAAGGAGUAAAAAGGAAAAUUUACAAUUCUGGAGAAAGAUCUCGAAGGUCGGUGUGCACGAAGUGAUUUUCGCACACCAUGUGAAAAUUUGGCACACCCUGCGAAAAUUUGGCACACCUUGCCAAAAUUUGGCACACCCUGCCAAAUUUUGGCAUACCUUGCGAAAUUGAUGUUUUUGCCUUGCGAAAUGCUUUGUUUUCCUCCAUUUUGCUACUGAUAGCUUUGGAAACCCCUUUCCAAGUUUUCCAAGGGGUUUUGAAGUGCUCCAAAGUUCGGAUUCUUCAUGUGCUCCAAACUCUCCCUCAAUCUUGGCAUGUUUCAAUGAUCCAAAAAGCUACCAAAAACACUAAAACUUACCAAAAACUGGUUAGUAAUAUUUGCUAGGUCCUUAACAUGACAAAUGGGGUAUAAAGGUCUAACUACUACUCAAAAGUGCUUAAUACAAUUAAGUUUAAGCUUAUAAAAAUGCACUUUGUGAGUAGUAAUCACUCCCCCAACCGACAUAUUGCUAGUCCCUUAGCAAUGAAGGAGUGAAAAAGGAAAGUGGCAUGAUAUGGAUCAAAAAUCUCUCAUGGAAAAUCAAAGAUAUAAAACCCAACCUUCAACAAGAGUCAUUAAAUCACUUACCUAAUCACAAAAUACAAAGAGUGGGCAUUAUGCAAAUUUAAGCAUCAAAAGAAUUUCCACUCCCAAAGAUUCAACUCUAAAUCUUCCACAAGAAUCUAAGUGUUAAGUUGAUUAGUUUCCAAUUAUAGUAUGCUAAACUAUGCUCUCCCCUAACCUAGUUCUUUCUCGAACCUAGCAAACUGACCAACACCGAAUAGGCUAAGAACGCACCUAUUUUAUUUCACAAUUCUUUUAUUUGCUCAACUUCACCCAUUCACCCUUGUAAUGAGCAUUAAGGUCUAUGACUCCCAACCAAUUAAGGUUUAGGGCACCAGGCUUCAAAGACUUUUGCCAUAUACCCCUAGGACCUUGCUCGGGAUUCAAGGCAAGUGUAUCACUUUUUUUUUUUUUUUUUUAUGAAAGCUCAUUGGCCUUCUAUAAGGUGUCCCAACACUAUUAAAAUGAGGUCAAAUGUACCAAGUCAAAAUUUUCCUAAGUUCAAGGGGUGAGAUAGUUUUUCAUCUUAUAAUUGGAACCUAAUGUGCAUAGUGUGUGGUAAGAUUAAAGUGGAAGAAACAAGGUUGAAUUCAAUAGGAGCUUCAAUAAUUCAUCAACCUCAAUAAACAUAAUACAAACUCUAAGACUUAAGCAAAAAGGCAAGAACUCAACUUCUCUCAUUUCAUUUUGAGAAUUUUUCCUUGACAACCAUGGAGAGUAGAGUAAAUUUUUUUUAAAAAAUUCAACAAAAGGUAACUAUGUUAACAAAAUAUCCUAGCAAUAUUUACAAUACUUACUUCCUCAACUCUCACCCCAACCAAGCUGAACAUUGUCCUCAAUGUUUCAAUUGCAAGCGAAAAUAAAGGGAGGAAGUGAUACCUCUUGAGGGAAAUUGGGGUUUCAGAGCAAAAUUUUCACAGUCAUGCAAAAGUUUCGCAAAAGGGCGCAAAAAUGACUAGAGAAGUGAGAAAUGAAGUUGGGAUGUAUGCUGUAAAAAUUUUUUUUUACUUUUUUUUUUUUUUUUUUACAAAAUUCGCAAAGUGGAUUUCACAAAGUGGAAUUCGCAAAGUGAAAUUCGCAAAAUGACAUUCGCAAAGUGACAGUGGAAUUUUUCGCACAGUGGGAUUUUCGCAAAAUGGGAUUUUCACAAACCCUGUGGAAAUUUGCAAAGUGUGCGAAUUUGUGGUCCGAGAGCUGUAGUUUUCAAAAAUGAUGAGGAGGAUUUCGCAAAGGGUGCGAAAUUUUCGCAUGCUCUGCGAAAUAGAAGUAGCUUACCUAAUACAAAGGGCACUUUUCGCACACCAUGCGAAAAUUUCGCAGGGAUGUGUGCGACAUGCUCCAUUUUAGUAUUUCCUUAGCUUUUCCUCUGCCAACGAAUCCUUAAGUGCUCUCCCCUGCAAGUGAUCAUCAAAAACCUAAAUUAACUCAUACUAAAAUAGAAUUCAAGCAAGAAAACGAAAUCAAAACAAAUACAAAUGCAAGAAAAAACAUGAAAUCAAAAACAAAAAACAAAAAUGGAUGAACGUAAUAAUUUUCAGAAAUACUAAGUCCAUCCAGGAUAUGAUUUUUCAAGCCUGAGGGGGAUUAAGGAGGAUGAAUUCCUCCUUGUCUCGGGAAAAAUACUCCACAAAGGGCUUGAGACUCUGGCCAUGCACUUUGAAAGUGCAGUUGGUGUUGGCGUUGAGUAGCUUCACUACUCCAACUCGCACCACCUCUUGCAUGUGAGGGUUCAACCUUCUCUGAGGUUGGCGAAAUGGCUUUGCUUCCUCCACCAUAUAGAUAUGAUGGGUGCACACCAAAGGGCUGAUCCCUUUCAAGUCUGAAAAUUUCCACCCAAUGGCCUUCUUACAACUUCUAAGGAUUCCGAUUAGGCCAUCCUCUUGAUGAAUAGAGAGAGUUGAAGAGAUCACCAUAGGGCACUACUCAUCUUCCUCCAAGUAUGCAUAUUUCAACCCAAUAGGAAGAAGUUUAAGAGUAGGCCUUGGGGGUUCCUUCUUAGCAGCUUUGUGCGACUCCUCUUCAUUGAACAAAGGUAGAAUCUCUUCCCUCCUCCUCUAAUGAGACAUGGUAGUCAGCAAAUCUGAGGGUUCAGGUAACCCUUCAUCAAGAUCCCCAAUACUCUCAAUCAAAUCUUUCUCCAUGCUCUGUUCACAGUGCUCCUCCACCAAAGUGUCAAUCAUGCACACUUCCUCUGGCCCUUCCUCUUCUUCCGGAUGGAGAUGCUUCUUGCACAAAUGGAAGAUGUUUAGCUCCAAGGUCAUGUUGGCAAAUGUGAGUUGCAUAACUCCAUUCCUACAAUUGAUGAUUGCAUUCGAAGUAGCGAGGAAUGGUCUUCCAAGUAUGAUUAGCACAUAGUUUGUCCCCGUGACAAUUGGAUCAGUAUCAAGAACAACAAAAUCUACUGGAUAGUAGAAUUUUUCAACUUGUACCAAGACAUCUUCAAUUAUCCCUCUUGGGAUCUUCACUGAUCUAUCAGCUAGGGAAAGAGUAAUGGACGUGGGUUUCAACUCCCCAAGUCCCAACUGCUUGUAAACCGAAUAGGGUAGCAAAUUCACACUUGCUCCCAAGUCUAGAAGAGCUUUCUCCACACAUGUCCUUCCAAUAUUUACUGAAAUGGUGGGGCAUCCUGGAUCUUUAUACUUCAUCGGAGACUUGCACUGGAGGAUAGCACUCACUUGCUCAGUCAAAAAGGCUUUCUUGUUCACAUUUAACCCUCUCUUUACAGUGCACAAGUCCUUCAGGAAUUUGGCAUAAGUUGGAACUUGCUUGAUCAUGUCAAGUAAAGGAAUGUUGACCUUCACUUGCCUCAACACUUCAAAAAUUCCUGAUGUAUUCUUGGUUCCCUUCUUACCAUGCAAAGCUUGAGGGAAAGGUGGAGGCAUGUGCUUCUUCAUCAUAUCUUCCUUGAUGACUAUCCUUGGUUCUUCAUCCACAUUAGAAUCAUGGCCAUCUUUCUCUAACUUCUUCUCACCCAUGUCUUUCUCUUUCUUUGAUUCCCUUCCCUCAUCAUGAUUUAACUUGGGUGGGGGUUGAACAACCUCCUUACCACUCCUAAGAGUGAUAACUGCUUUGACUUCCCUUACCUUUGAAGAUUCUUCCUCUUGAGCUUCUACUUCAUGAAUACCCUUGGGAUUUUGAUGAGGUUGAGAAGGAAACUUUCCUUUCUCUUGCACAGUAUUGAGGUUGGUGAGCCUUGAGAUGGAGUAUUGAAUAUUAUCUAUCUUCUGAUAUAGAUCAUUUUGCAUCUCAUCCAUCCUCUUAUUCAAUGUACUCUCCACUCUAUCAAUUUUCUGAUUCAAUUGAGAGUUGAUUGACUUUUGCUCCCCCACAAAGUCUCCUACAACCUUGCUAAGAUUCGCAAUAGCUUAUUCAAGGUUUGAAGCUUGUUGAAGUGCUUGAGCUGGUGGUGUGUACUGAGGUGGCCUUGGCUUCCAUGAGAAAUUUGGAUGGUUCCUCCAAUUAGAAUUGUAGGUGCUUCCAUAAGGAGCAUUGUUAUUGGGCUUGAAUUGGUCAACCACAUUUGCUUGAUCACCAAACAUUUCUCUCACUGCUGGAAGUGUUGGACACUCCUCCACCAAGUGCUCAUAAGACUAACAUAUAGAACAAGGCAUGGCUUGCACUUCUUGUACUUUCUUCAGUUCUAGCUCUUCCAAUCUCCUUGUUAUAGUUGCCAAUUUUGCUUUCAUGUCCAUGUCUUCACUCAACACAUACAUUCCACCCUUAGCAUUGGGGUGAGACUUCAUCCUCCCCACAUCUCUGGUAUUCGGUUCAUCCCAUCCUCUUGAAACUUCAGAAACAUAGCUCAAGAAGUCCAUAGCUUCCUCCGGAUUCUUACUCAUGAAGUCUCCUCCACACAUGGUCUCUAGGAUUUGCUUCAUAGAGGAAGACAUCCCAUCAUAGAAAUAACUCACUAAGAGCCAUGUAUCAAAGCCAUGGUGGGGACAAGCGUUGAUAGCUUCCAUGUACCUCUCCUAACACUCAUAGAAUUUCUCAUUCUCCUUAGCUGAGAAGUUCGAAAUUUGCCUUUUCAAGCCAUUGGUCCUAUGAUUAGGGAAAAACUUCUUGAGAAACUCAGCUUGUAAAUUAGUCCACGUUCUGAUACUCCUCGGCCUUAGAGAAUUAAGCCAAACCUUGGCCUUAUCCUUUAAGGUGAAAGGGAAUAGCUUGAGUCUCAUCAUUUCAAUUGCAGCUCCUCCUUCUUGGAAUGUAUUGCACACUUCUUCAAACUCCUUGAUGUGAGAAUAGGGGUUCUCACUUUCCAUCCCAUGGAAAGUAGGUAGAAGUAGCACUAUAUGAGGUCGGAUCACUAGUUGCUCAGUGGGGAGCACUAUGCAUGAAGGUGCACUCAUUCGAGGUGGAUGCAUGCGGUCCCUCAUGGAUCGGUAUGCAUUGAGAUUCUCCUCUUGCCCAUGUUGGCUAUGCUGAUCUUCAGGUGGAAUAUCCAUGAUGUUUAAGCAGACUUCCAACUCGGUUUCUCGAGGAGUUUCAAUUUUCCCAAAUCUUCCCUCAAUAUCCCUUAUCCAAUAAGGCAUACAAAACUUGAGAUUACUGAAACAAAAACAAAGAAAACAAAAAGGACUACAAUUCUAGGAAAAUAUUUAAGGUUAGAUAAAAACUAAAUGAAAGAUAAGAUAAAAUAAAAACAAAGAAAAUGAGUUAGUGAAAGAAAAAUCACCUACUUCUGAUGAAGAUCACAAGUACUCAUAAAAGGUAACAUUUAUGUACUUAGGCACCAUCCCCGGCAACGACGCCAUUUGAUUCAUGCCCAGUCGGGUGUUUAUCAAAACAUUUAUAAAACCUACAACACCUUAUACUAGGGUAGCAAAGACAAAGCUACUAUAACAUAGUGGCUCUAGGAUCGUCCACAGUGAUGGGUUUUCUUUGUACACUUAACAUUAAUGAAAUGAGAAAUGGUGAUUUCCUUUUUGGAAAGUUAGUUUUUAAUGAAAAUAAGAUUGAUUGGAAAUGUUGAUUUUUAGUUAAGCAAACAUAAACAACUGAAAUUACUACAAAAAGAGUUUCUUGGAGCUAUAGGUUACUAGGAUCAAGUUCCUGUUGCAAAAUGGGAAAUUCCGGAUCUUCUCCUUGCAUUGGGGACAAUAGCAUAAAGGAUGGUUAUCUCCCGAACCGGAUUUAUAUUUAGCAAAUAAGUUUUGAUCCAAAGGGUUCUUGAAAAAUGGUAAUUGCUUCCCAUUAAUGGCUUCAAACACUAAAGACCCUCACCUUGAACCACCUUCCAAUGGCUCGUACUUGAUAACUAAUGGACAUCCAUGGAUCUAGCAAUAAGCAUCCAUAGAAUCCUAAAAGCUUACCAAGUAUUGGCCAUUCAAGGUUAUUCUAAGGGAUUAAAGCUGAAACUUGAAAUAUAAACCAUUAAUGAUACACAACUAUCUUCGUUUAAAGCAAGGAAAACUCCCACUUUUGCAUCCGGGUCCUUUACCUAGCUUCCAUCACUCCAAGAAAUGUGAAACUUAGCCACUCAUCCUAUGAGAAAUCAUCCUCAAAGGGUGUUUGGCUAGAGAGAAAGUGAAGAGAAAAUGAGAAGGAAAGGUAGAGAAACCUCCCGUCUUUACAAAAUAUCUAAAACAUAAUAUCUAACAUCA
This 6750-nucleotide long non-coding RNA is filed under the name Vitis vinifera (wine grape). Its description in RNAcentral is "long non-coding RNA (VVIN_LNC002961)". Lineage: Eukaryota; Viridiplantae; Streptophyta; Magnoliopsida; Vitales; Vitaceae. The record is from RNAcentral.